AUUGCUCUCGAUCUCGCAUCCUCUCUCUGUGUUCUCAAUCAAUCAUUCCUUCAAUUAAUCAAUCAAUCAAUCCAUUGAAUGGUGGAGGAGAGUUUCAAAUACGUGAUUCUGAACCGUGACAUCUCCACUGUGAAUGGUGUUGCCUAGUUGCAUAGUGACAUUUUAAAGUCCGAGUUAUUUGUAGACUACCACCACCAGCCACUGCCCCUCCGAUGAUGUUAGUUACACGAGCACCAAUGGAUUGAUUCAGUGAGAUACUUGGAUUAAUCCGGUGAGAGCCUUGGAUUGCAUGCCUUAUUCUAUUAAUUCAGUUUCUCCUCUCUCAUCUCUCUUUGAUUUUGAUUUGAUUUCUAGAGUUUUGAUUUCGAUUUCUAGGUUUUUGAUUUUGAUUUGAUUUCUAUUCAAUUAACCUAAAUUUUUCUCCCUUGCAGUUUCAUUUCAACUCUUUGAUCUCAAGCAGCAAGGAUUCAUAGAGAGACAGGACCUUGUGAGAAUGGAACCUCAGAAGAGGUGAAGAAUAUAGUUUUUGUCCUUAAUGCUGGUGAAGUGCCUUCUCAGGAUGCUGUGGCUGAAACAUUGAAUGAAAUCCUCUAUUGGGGUAGCAAAGAUAAAUAACACUGCUGAAACUAGCUCAUUGCCAAGAAGAUGCCAAGUAUGUCAAUUGCUUUCCUAUCUUCAUUAGCUCAUUGCCGAGAAGAUGCCAGAGUUACUAGAUUUUGAUAAGGAUCUCGUUCAUUUGGAAGCAGCCUAAGAUCCAAUUGAAGUCUUUAGCUGAAGAAAUGCAAGCUGUGAGUAAAGGUCUUGAAAAGGUUGAGCAGGAACUCACUGCUUCAGAGAUGAUGGUGCCAUCUCUGCAGGCUUCCAAAAUGUAGGGGACAAACUUGGGACACUAGCUUACUCUUUUCUCUUCUUUUUUU
Camellia sinensis is the source of this 917-nucleotide non-coding RNA. The record is from RefSeq and is a predicted model, not a curated record. Lineage: Eukaryota; Viridiplantae; Streptophyta; Magnoliopsida; Ericales; Theaceae.